Molecule: long non-coding RNA, 6118 nt
Organism: Cygnus olor (mute swan)
Lineage: Eukaryota; Metazoa; Chordata; Aves; Anseriformes; Anatidae
Exons: 17
Source: RefSeq, a predicted model, not a curated record
UAGCAUGGUCUGGGUCAUGCUAGGGCUGUUCUCUAGGAAACCUGCAGAGAUCAGGCAGUAGCUUAGAUCACUCGGAAAGUAAGUGUGAAUAUAGGUAUUGCUCAGAAGGUCACUUUCUAGGAGUGGAAAGUUUAAGAUGGUCUGUCUACAUGCUCACAGUCUGUCCCAAAGCUGCCUCCUUUACAGCUGAAGAAUUUUAGUUUAGAAUUAAAAAAAGUGUAUGGUGGGAGGUGGGUUGAUGAGAAGGCAUGGAGCUUAUCAACCAAAUUAUAAUAUGCAGCUGCUGUGCUGGUGGGAGAGUGCUGUACACUAACACCGAUGAAAAUAUUUCUUAACAGCUCAGAUGUAUGAACAGCCAGAAUAUAUGUGUGGACAGCACAGCUUGACCUUCCUGUUAUUUCUUUGCUGAGGAAGCCAGAGGAAAACCGCUGAAUCUGCAGCCUCAGAAUAACAACUUUGCAGCUUGACAUUCCUAUAGUCUAGGACUAGCCAGGACCAGAGAAAAAGCAAAUAAGAGCUUCCAGCAGAGAUGAUGGACGUUUAUGCCUUUCUUCAAGAGAGCGGUGAAGCCAUCCUGCUGCACAGGCUUGACCAGGUGGGACAUUCGUGGCAGCAAGAGCCUGGGAAGCAAACAAAAUGUGCUUCACAUCACUCCAUUGAUUCAGUAUUCACAGCAUUCUGAGAUUCAGCGGUGAUGCUCUGAGAUGCUUCCAACACUUGAAAAAGAAAUAAAUGAGGCUUCGUAGAUGAUGAUGAAUUCCAAAGAACCAGAUGCUGCGGAGAUGGAGCUGAGCCUCCCGCUGAGUAACCAGUUCUUUCCACUUCAGCAUGAGAUCUGUUCUCGCCGUUAGGGAGACUUCUGCAGGGUGCUGAGCCAGCCAGUGGGCUUAGCGGCAGUGACAGGUGUGAGACUGACAGCACUGGAGGUGGAGAAGCUGCGUGCAGUCUGACGUCCUCUCACGUGGUGCAGAAUAAGAUGGGCCCUUGCUGCUCUAGAGACUGAAGAGCAGGUCGGGAUGAAAGGAGCGGCCUCAGACACGUGAGUCCAGCAGCCUCCUCUUCCACGAGCUUGGUGCAUUUGCACUGGCUCUUUGGGCAGUCAGGGGACAGGUGAUUUUGUUCUGAAUCCUUUUCUUGACAUCUUUUUCCUUCUUUCGAGUCUGUAUGAGGACUGGUGUGCAGUAUGGGGGAAAUGUGAGCUCUUGGGCUGAGCUGCAGAAUGCAUCCACGUGGGAGGGAAGCCACUUCUGGCCAGCUCCAAAGCUGUGCACAGUGGCCUUCUGUGCUUCCAGUUCAGGCAUUCAUUCCAACCUGAGCUGCAGAGAAGCUUGGAAAGGGGAUUUAUUGCCAAGCUUUACCAUUUCUGUGUACAGUGGCACACAUCGAGCUCUCUGUGGAUGUGCUGCCUUACGCAGCUCAGAGCAACAGGGCUGAUUUCUUGGCUCUGCAUAAAGCAGUGCCAUGAUCCUAAGUUAACCAGUUGUCCUGCUUAUAACGUAAGAGCUCAUGUAUGUGUGAUGCUGCUUUCCUUACCGCUACCCUCUCCAGCUUGCUCAGCGUUACAGAGUGCACGAUACAACGGCCAGAGAACAUGGGCAGCACCAGGACCCUGUGCUGAGUCCCACUCCAGCACAACGGGGAAUUUCCUGCUCCACGGAGCUUCAGUCUAAAGGGUGAAAGAGCGGGUGGUUGGCAGUAAUUGUCUGAAACGCUUACUGGAACAGGUGACUGUUAAUUUUCAUGGGCAAAUGUAUACAUUUAUUUUUCGUUUGUGUUGUAGCGUGCAUGUAAAUGUAGGAACAGCUAUACAUAUGUAUGUUACAUAUCAGGCAUAUACAGUCUGCAAUAUACACGAACACAAUGCAGCACUAAAUCAGGGGUUGGUUUUCGCUUCUCUUAAUUACCUAAUUAUAUUGAUUUUUACAUUCUGUACAUCUUGGUUUUAUCUGAACUUUACAGAAGGUGUAAGCAAUACACAUCUUGUCACAUCCCAUUUUCACAGUAGCGCUGUUGCUGUAUGAACCAUUGCUAGAAAUAAAACACGACUAGAAUAGUCAGCCAUCUGUCUGGAAAGCACAUGCAGUCCCAGAUGGCAGUUUCUCUCCCGCUCGCUGGUAGCAAAGUCCUCUGUCUAAGGAACACGGCAGAAAUGUGUAACAAUUCAGCGGGGAUGUGUACAACGUGCAGCCCUCCCCCAUGCUGGGACCGAGGGCCUCCAGCAAGGGAAGAGGAGGGAAACCUGGAGCGCUGCGUCCAUCCCUAAGGGGGGCAGGUGCUCAGCUCCCACGGAGCAGAGGGAUCAGCAUCAGAGCACGAACUCCACAGCAAACCCCUCUGCCACCGAUCGCUGUGUGAAUGAGGUUCCUCAGCCUGUCUCUGUGCACUGCACCUUUCUGUGAAAGGAGCGCAGGACCCUGGCAGGUGAUGUUAAAGCCCACAGGCUGUUCCCUCUGGUGUUGUGGGACUGUUCAGAGGAGAAACGAGGCUGUUUCUGCUGUAGAGCUGUGUGCUUGGUCUGGGGACAGGUUGGCCACCAAGAACCGACGCUUGCCAACCCCAGAGGCACCCAAGCUAUCUGCACAAUCCGUCGAGGAGCCCUGUCGCUGCAGUGGGCCUUUGCAGGAGCACCAGAUACCCACCUGAGCAGCUGCUGAAGCCUGCAGCCCCCAGAGCUGACGGUUCUGAGCUCUACCCAUUGCAUUCACGUGGUCAGAAGGAAAGACAAGAAACAGCAAGAAAAGGUCCUGCCGAGACUGUGCAAAGGUUCAGGCUGUUUUGGAAGCAGGAAGAAAACAACCACUCCUCUCUUCCUCUUGGAAGUAAUUUUGCCUUUUGGCCCAGCCUUUGCAGAAUGAAAUUUAGAAAGCCUUGCUGAGCUCGGGAGCUGGCGGGAGCCAUCGUCCAGCCAAUUCAUCAUCACAGGAGCCCGGUAUCUAAUGAGCAGGUUUUGUCCUACAUGUGUGAGGUGGUGAUGGGCGAAAGAUGACUAGAGGAGGACGCUUAGGAAGUACCGAGUAUGUUGAGUGGAGAAGCAUAGGGUGAUGCUCCCCCUGAGAAGACACCUGUGGGGCCCAGCGUGGUGCCAGGAGGACCUUACGACAGCAGGGACCAGCCCACCAGAGCAGUCUCUCCAGUGGGACUGGGACCAGUCACAGCCAGAGGAGGACGUGGGAAGGGCAGGAACCGAGGACCACGCUGCAUCCUUAGAGUGAGUAGGACCUGCCCGGACAUAAGCUCUGGGACAACCCCUUGGGGCUGACAGCUGCCCAUGGUGUCAAUCUUCUAGCUUUGCUGGGGCUCUUCCCGAGGCACCUCACCAGUUUGGGGUGAGGGUGCUGCUUUCCCUGGGCUGCUUCGUGUCUGUCCGGGCUCAAGCAGAAGGUCGUUAUCGCAGGGCCCCGCUCAGCAAAGCAGGGAAGCCCGUCCCUAUUUGUCACCGAGCGUCAGGGCCUUGGAGGUGAAUCAGAUGCACUGUAUUAAUAGAUCUAAUCAUCGCAAGCCUUGGUUGUGCCGUAUGUAGCAAUCUGUUUCCUGGCUGACAGCGUGCUCGCUGCUAGCAGGAGGGAGAGCCGGAGGAAGAAGUAUCGCCCAUCCGCAGCUCCGCGGGGCAGGACCUUGAAGGUGGCUGAACCGAGUUUCUUCUCGCCUGUUGGGUGGGUGAAAUCCCGGCCUCGUGGCCGUCCGUGGCAAAGCUGCCGACAGGAACAGGGCACAUCCAGGCAGGCUGCUGGGUUUUGGAAAGAAAACUCCCCCUGCUUUUAGGAUGGAGCUUUCUCUUUUUCGUGGGUAUCCUCGAGAAAGAGGUCUGCUUCUCGUUUUAGCCUGCUUGGCAGCCCCUCACUUUGCGUUUCUCUUUCUUGCUAGCGCUGGUAGCUGGUGCUGCUGCUGGCUGGUGUUUCAGAUCAGCCUUGGAUCAAUAGGGAGCACUUGCUAGCAUCAUAUUAAUUGAGCCUUCUGCUUAGAGCCCUUGCGCUAUUGAUUGUAACAGUAACUUCAGCUGGAAUUUGGGAAGCAGUUACUUGGAGUCUAAAAAAUGAGAAGAAAGCACAACACUGGGUGAUUGGAUUGACUUCAUUUCCAGCAGAUUACACUGUAAUAAUUGCGUGUGUCCAGUCUGCUUUCAUUACUUCUCCCUCUAAUAAAAGUACCAGGAAUGCUUUCAGAUUUCAAUGUGCAGGAUUAUAGGGCUUGCUUGGAGCAAGCACCAGAGUACACUGGGCAGGAGCAAUAUGAGAGACUUUAUCUUAAUAACUGGCAAGAAGAUACCCACUCACCCUGCUGUCUGCCCCAUUCACAUCCUUUUCUUCGCUUUCCUUCCUCUUUAAAGAAAAGAAAAAAAGAAACAAAAAUGCCAAUUACUGACUGAGAACAUGAAUUUUUCAUUGACCUCCUGUAAUUCCCCACAAAGCUGAGGAGCCUGGAAGGUAAUGAAAUGAGAUUUCUUCAAAGAACAAAUGAACGAGAGGAGAUGACUGUCUGAGCUGAAAGCCCGUGGCAAAUUUGCUUUACUUAACGCUAAGUGGGGAUCAUUUCUUGUGAUUACUGAAAAAUGCAUCAUAACUUUUGAUUACGCUGCUAUUAAGGAUGCAGAAUGGCAAUUGCUGCUGCUCGCAGAGAGGGAGAGAGAGGAAACACUGCUGGAAAAGCUGGUGUAACCCUUUGCUAUGCUGAGUGCUGUGGAGAAGAUGUCACCGCUGCACCCCCUGCUUUGCCAAAGGGAAUAUUUGCCUUCCACGGUAUCUGAAGAUCUGCAAGAUCUGAGUAGAGAGCCAGGAGAUGGAGUUUGUGAGAUACCGUGUGCACAGUCUGGUCAGCGCUGCUCCUGCAGGCAGCUGGGCUGUGGAUCAGCACCAAAGCCCCGACCUCAGGAUAGGUGCCAGCGAAGCCAGGCCACGGUGUUUGCAUGGCGCACGCAGAUGGUUGUCAGUGCUCGUUCAGUGGUUCCCCAGCCUCACCUGGCAUGGCCCUACAAGGGGAUGCUGCUGGACUCCAGGCUGCCACGUGUGACUGGCUCCCCACAGCCCAGCAGAGCAGCUCCUAGGAAUGGAUCAUGCCUAUUGCUCAUCUGCUGUGUGCUGCUGGGCAUGGUGCAGUCGGCUGGUCUGCAAGCCUGUCCAUGUGCCUUGCUGAGAGAGGUUUCUGCUGUCUCUGUGAGAAGACAACUUUGUCCAAGGAGCAACAGCAACCGCUGGAGUAUGGAAAAUCACAAAAGGAAAUGAGAGUCUUGCUGUAGAAGUGAGCUUACGAUGGAGAAAUGCAUGCCCCUGGCAGUCCUUGGACCUCUCAGUCACUCUACGAAAAUGUGCAGAAAUCCUACAAAAUGCUUGUUUUUCUGAAGAUUUUGAUCUAAAAGUCAUUUUUCCAUUGCAAUGAAAAAUCCCAACCAGCAAGCAUGUGUAAAUGAAUCUGAAACUCCAGCUGAGCUCUGAGUCAUGACUCUAAGUCCUAAGCCUUGUGGGCAAGAGCAGAGCGACUUACAAACGCUUGGAGAGCAAUUUAUAGAGAGGAGCACAACAGCAAUGAAACAGCUUUGGAGACUGCAAGGUGCUGAUGAAAUGCCUCUCCUGUACACCAUUCCCAUUGGGACCCCCUCUUGUAGCUACUGUAAGAGAGCAGAUCUAGUGUGAUUCCUGCUGAGCAGACCUUGAUAAAGCAAUGACACAGAUCUUCUGCAGAAAAGGAAGAGCCCUAGUGGAAAUUGAUGCAGAAGUGGCAGAUGCAGCUGGAACUGUCUGUGAAAAUCAGCCCAACCAUCUCUUCAAACACUUGGGACCAAGGGCGAUCUUCUAGGCUUCAUUAUUACACCAUUUCAGGAGCCUUCCUUUCCCCUGGGGCUGGCUCUGCUCGGAGCGCUCUCGGAAGCAGGAGAGGUAAGCAAUACAAACUCAAUUUGAGGUCUGGCGAAUCCAGACAAAUGCCUCUCAGAUCCCCUGUUCCUUGUGCUGUGGAUUAGCCCAUGUGAAAUGGUAAAUCCCUGUCCUAAAAUUCCUCAGGCAAACUGGGAUUCGUGGCAGUUGUUGACUGACUGCAAACAGAUCACAUGAUAACUCUCCAUAUUAUUGACAUAACUCUAAAAAUACGCUGCAAAAGUGUAAAUAAUAAAUGUGUAGUAUCUGCA